UGGGGAAUCUUGCGCAAUGGGCGAAAGCCUGACGCAGCCAUGCCGCGUGAAUGAUGAAGGUCUUAGGAUUGUAAAAUUCUUUCACCGGGGACGAUAAUGACGGUACCCGGAGAAGAAGCCCCGGCUAACUUCGUGCCAGCAGCCGCGGUAAUACGAAGGGGGCUAGCGUUGCUCGGAAUUACUGGGCGUAAAGGGAGCGUAGGCGGACAUUUAAGUCAGGGGUGAAAUCCCGGGGCUCAACCUCGGAAUUGCCUUUGAUACUGGGUGUCUUGAGUGUGAGAGAGGUAUGUGGAACUCCGAGUGUAGAGGUGAAAUUCGUAGAUAUUCGGAAGAACACCAGUGGCGAAGGCGACAUACUGGCUCAUUACUGACGCUGAGGCUCGAAAGCGUGGGGAGCAAACAGGAUUAGAUACCCUGGUAGUCCACGCCGUAAAACGAUGAUUGCUAGUUGUCGGGAUGCAUGCAUUUCGGUGACGCAGCUAACGCAUUAAGCAAUCC
This 498-nucleotide ribosomal RNA is filed under the name uncultured bacterium. RNAcentral's name for it is "partial 16S ribosomal RNA". It matches the Rfam family "Bacterial small subunit ribosomal RNA", at positions 355 to 870 of the family's 1533-position model. The record is from RNAcentral.